Long non-coding RNA from Triticum aestivum (bread wheat), 1112 nucleotides. RefSeq lists it as uncharacterized. NCBI's taxonomy places the organism in Eukaryota, Viridiplantae, Streptophyta, Magnoliopsida, Poales, Poaceae. The transcript is spliced from 3 exons. The record is from RefSeq and is a predicted model, not a curated record.
CCAGCCACGGUAUAGCUUGGCCAGGUUUCAACUGACGUAAAAUUGUAUCAGUACCUUCGUAAGAUUACCUUGACGCUGGGAGGAGCCAGCCCACUCCUCAAUGCCUUCGCUAAUUAGGUGCUCACCUGCGAGCGGUUUCUACUUUGAACGUGGAGGGCGCGGUGAGCGGUGGGGAUCGACGACGUGAUGCUCGGCGGAGAUUUUUGUCGCCCCUGUCCCCCUCUCCCCCGUACACUUGGCGAUUAGGAGGCGACAGUGGCGGCAGCCGCGGUGGAGGGGCUGAUGGGACGGCGAUUUGGGCUGCGGCGGCGCCGACCACUGCAAAUCCAGCCCUCCUCUGUCGGAGAAGGCGCCAGCGACAAGAAGAUGGUGGUGACUGCCCUCCUCCUUGUUGACGGUCUCUAUGUGGAAGGGUUCAGAACUUUCUCUAGGUGCAGACCUGAAUACUAGUGGUACACACUUGCAACUAGCAAAAUUUGCAAGAUGCAGGGUCAGGUUUUCUUGUUUCAAUGGAUGGCAUAUGUACAAGUGGUUGACGGCUAAUGUAUGAGGGAUAGAGAGUAAUGUCUCUGUAUUUAUGGUUGGUAUGAGUAAUGUUAAAUUGAAAUUUCAGACCUUCUUUUACAAAUAGCCAGUAGCAAAGUUCAGGUUUUGGUGAGAAGAAAAGUGAACCUAAAGGCUACAGUAAAAUUAACAGUAUACUACGUUGCUUCCAGGCCAUGGAUAAGAAUGUUUUAGUCGCUAUAGUCCUGGAGAGAUGGCUGAACAAGUAACUUGAUGGGAGAUCUCUGGUCAUCUGCAAAUUAAGCUAAUUGAAGAUCAAGUUCGGCAGUACACACUUUUCGAGUUCGGUGGUACUCAGUUUUCAACUACAGCAGCACUCAGUUUUAUAAUAGUGAUUUCUCGAAAAUAAUAGUGAUUUCUAAAAUGUUUCAUGCCGCUGGUUACUUAGUGCUAAGUGGCAUUCAAUUGUCUGGACGAAUUUUAUUUGUAAUCGUAAGGAUGGAUUUAUUAGAUAACUUUGUUAUUUGUAAUCGUAAACAUGAUGAACUAGACAAUACCCCGCACGUUGUUGCGGGAGAUUUGGUUAUUAAAAUAUAUUUGAGAAGAUA